AAGCGCAUAUGGCAAAACCGGAGCAAUCCGGCGACGCAAAACUAAAGGGACUUCGCUAAGAAGUCAGCCAGUUGCCCGG
RNAcentral lists this non-coding RNA (79 nucleotides) under Caballeronia telluris. RNAcentral describes it as "Burkholderia telluris c-di-GMP sequence". It matches the Rfam family "c-di-GMP-I riboswitch aptamer". From Rfam's summary of the family: GEMM was predicted in a large-scale screen for bacterial structured RNA regulatory elements. Genes associated with GEMM are involved in a diverse array of functions, including chemotaxis regulation, signal transduction, secretion and chitin. Lineage: Bacteria; Pseudomonadati; Pseudomonadota; Betaproteobacteria; Burkholderiales; Burkholderiaceae. The record is from Rfam by way of RNAcentral.